AUUGAACGCUGGCGGCAUGCCUUACACAUGCAAGUCGAACGGCAGCACGGGAGCAAUCCUGGUGGCGAGUGGCGAACGGGUGAGUAAUAUAUCGGAACGUGCCCAGUCGUGGGGAUAACGUAGCGAAAGCUACGCUAAUACCGCAUACGAUCUAUGGAUGAAAGCGGGGAUCGCAAGACCUCGCGCGAUUGGAGCGGCCGAUAUCAGAUUAGGUAGUUGGUGAGGUAAAGGCUCACCAAGCCGACGAUCUGUAGCUGGUCUGAGAGGUCGACCAGCCACACUGGGACUGAGACACGGCCCAGACUCCUACGGGAGGCAGCAGUGGGGAAUUUUGGACAAUGGGCGCAAGCCUGAUCCAGCAAUGCCGCGUGCAGGAUGAAGGCCUU
RNAcentral lists this ribosomal RNA (386 nucleotides) under uncultured bacterium. Its description in RNAcentral is "bacterial SSU rRNA". It matches the Rfam family "Bacterial small subunit ribosomal RNA", at positions 30 to 418 of the family's 1533-position model. The record is from RNAcentral.